This 748-nucleotide ribosomal RNA is filed under the name uncultured Verrucomicrobiales bacterium. RNAcentral's name for it is "bacterial SSU rRNA". It matches the Rfam family "Bacterial small subunit ribosomal RNA", at positions 1 to 799 of the family's 1533-position model. Lineage: Bacteria; Pseudomonadati; Verrucomicrobiota; Verrucomicrobiia; Verrucomicrobiales. The record is from RNAcentral.
UGUUGGCGCAACGGGUGAGCUUGUUCUUGCUGGUACGUACAAGGGUGGCCGUACGGAUUCUAGCCUGGUAAUUUUUACAGGCAGGGGCUUAAACAUUCACGACGGAAAUGGGCUGGGGCGAGGUAUAACCUUUGGAAACGGUGAUUAAUACCUCGUAUGCUGAGGAGUGAAAGGUCGAAAGACCGCCAGGGGAUGGGCUUGCGUCUGAUUAGCUAGUUGGUGGGGUAAAUGCCUACCAAGGCGAUGAUCAGUAGCUGGUCUGAGAGGACAAUCAGCCACACUGGGACUGAGACACGGCCCAGACUCCUACGGGAGGCAGCAGUGGGGAAUCUUAGACAAUGGGCGCAAGCCUGAUCUAGCCAUGCCGCGUGUGUGAUGAAGGUCUUAGGAUCGUAAAGCACUUUCGCCAGGGAUGAUAAUGACAGUACCUGGUAAAGAAACCCCGGCUAACUCCGUGCCAGCAGCCGCGGUAAUACGAAGGUCCCAAGCGUUGUUCGGAAUCACUGGGCGUAAAGGGAGCGUAGGCGGCGCGUUAAGUCGGAUGUGAAAUCCCGAGGCUCAACCUCGGAACUGCAUCUGAUACUGCCGUGCUAGAGUAAUGGAGGGGUAGCUGGAAUUCUCGGUGUAGCAGUGAAAUGCGUAGAUAUCGAGAGGAACACUCGUGGCGAAAGCGAGCUACUGGACAUUUACUGACGCUGAGGCUCGAAGGCUAGGGGAGCGAAAGGGAUUAGAUACCCUGUAGUCCUAG